CUUGUGUGGACGAAACGUACGUCUGGCGUAUUAAAUUUUAAACCUCGACCUUUUGUAAGCUAUCAUUCGUGUGUUUCUCUGUCCUAUAUAAUUUCCCUUUAUUUGUAUUGUAGUCUUGUCAUGUAAUGUUGUCAUUUUAAUGUUAUAUUUAACACUGCCAUAAAAGCGGGAGGUUUGGCAUGCCACAAAACCAGGUUCAACCCACCAUUUUUAAAAUGUCCUGUACCAAGUCAGAAAAAUGGCCAUUGUUAUAUUAAAGUUCGUUUCUGUGUGUGUUACAUUUUAAUAUUGUGUUGUGUCGUUGUUCUCCUAUUAUAUUUGAUGUGUAUCCCUGAGUUUUAGUUUGUU
This 348-nucleotide long non-coding RNA is filed under the name Mytilus galloprovincialis (Mediterranean mussel). Lineage: Eukaryota; Metazoa; Mollusca; Bivalvia; Mytilida; Mytilidae. The record is from RNAcentral.